This 440-nucleotide ribosomal RNA is filed under the name uncultured bacterium. RNAcentral describes it as "partial 16S ribosomal RNA". It matches the Rfam family "Bacterial small subunit ribosomal RNA", at positions 338 to 795 of the family's 1533-position model. The record is from RNAcentral.
CCUACGGGAGGCAGCAGUGGGGAAUAUUGCACAAUGGGGGAAACCCUGAUGCAGCGACGCCGCGGGAGUGAAGAAGUAUCUCGGUACGUAAAGCUCUAUCAGCAGGGAAGAAAAUGACGGUACCUGACUAAGAAGCCACGGCUAACUACGUGCCAGCAGCCGCGGUAAUACGUAGGGGGCAAGCGUUAGCCGGAUUUACUGGGGGUAAAGGGAGCGUAGAAGGCAGCACAAGUCUGGAGUGAAAUCCCGGGGCUUAACCCCGGAACUGCUUUGGAAACUGUGCGGCUGGAGUGCAGGAGGGGUAAGCGGAAUUCCUAGUGUAGCGGUGAAAUGCGUAGAUAUUAGGAGGAACACCGGUGGCGAAGGCGGCUUACUGGACUGUAACUGACGUUGAGGCUCGAAAGCGUUGGGAGCAAACAGGAUUAGAUACCCCAGUAGUC